CAGCAAGAACGUGCAGGCAGCGCCGGAUGCUGCAGUGCUCUGCAGCCGCAUGCAGGCUGCGCGUCUCAAGGGCAGAGAGAAGAGGCCACCUCCAAUGGCCUCAGCAUUGCCAGCUCCUCAGAAGGAGCCAGGGCCCAGCUUUCUGCAAAGUAGCCACUGCAAAGGCCAUGAGACCAGGCUGGCUCCCCCAGGUCUUCAAAAGCAGCAGCCGAGUCUCCAGGUCAGGUCUGCUUCCUAUUGGGUGGGCCGCCCUGGCUGGGAGCAACUGCAGGUACCACCGAGGGGCAGAAGUAGUGACCAAGACCUCCCAGGCCUCCUGUGUCCACCUGGGCAGAGGACAUCGGGGAAGAGGCCCCAGGCAGGAGCACAGUGGCAAGGUCUCUGGCUGUCCCUCCUGAGGCAGCUGAGUCUGAGUCCCCUCCCCUGGGGCCACAGACCUGGCUUGGGGCAGGAGCAGGUGCCCAUGCGCGUGUGGAGGACAGAGCCUGCAAUGAGUGGGACAGUGGCUCGGAGUAUUUUUAACUGCAGGGAGAGGAGACGGCAGCUGUCCCAGAGCCUGUCCUGAGGGGGCUCCAGGGGACUUCACAAAGUUGAAGGACACCCAGGACACGUGUGCCGUGGGGGCCUUGAUCCCCUGGCAGGCCCAUGUGCCCUUGGUCAUGCCCAGAUAUGGCCACGGGCUGUGUCUCCCCAGCCACUCGCAGGCUACCACUGGUAUAAAUAGUCCACAUUCUCAGCUGUCCUGUCAGGAGGCUGAGCUGGGGUGACCCGGGGCCAGGAGGCCUACCCCUGGACCCCACCCAUCCCCAACAUGCCCUUGGCCAGCAGCUGCAUCAGCUGGGGCCUGGACAGGCUCUGAGCUCUGCCUUCACUUUUCUCACCUGCCCUUUCUGGGGCACCAAGUCCAGGCAGGACCUGGCAGCUUCCUGUUGCCCCUUCCCAGUGGCAGAGAUGGGUCUUGGUCCACCAGAGGAGAGCAGAGGGCAAGGAUCUCAACCUGGGGGCAGAUGCAGGGGACUGGCUGGUCCUGCUGCCUCGGCUCAGUCCUGUGGCAGGUGGAGGCUAAUCUGAGCGUCCUCUGUCCCCCUGACCCCCUGUCUGACCCUGGCUCUCCCUCCUGCCCUGAAUAGAGCAGUGCCCUGGUCCGUGCCCCUGCCAGGGGACUUGCUUCCCCUCCCUUUGACCCAGGAAGCGUCUCUCAGGUGGAAUUUGAAACACCUUGAGAGGCCCGUGGAGCAAAUGUCCUUUAGUGAGGGCAGGAAGAUCAUCCAGUGCCCCUGAAACAUAGGCUGCCCCUCCUGUGCCUGAGGACAAACAGUGCCAUGUCCAGUGAUGUCCCCACAUGCUGGGGACCUCUCCAAGCCAGAGGGAGAGCUGGGCACUCUGUGGCAGAAGCAAAAGUCUGAUGUGCCCAGACUGCAUCUGCCUGGCCUUCCAGGGCACCCGAGGCCUGUGGUGUCCAUACAGGACCCUCAGCUUGUC
Molecule: long non-coding RNA, 1482 nt
Filed under: Marmota monax (woodchuck)
Lineage: Eukaryota; Metazoa; Chordata; Mammalia; Rodentia; Sciuridae
Source: RNAcentral